This 870-nucleotide ribosomal RNA is filed under the name uncultured bacterium. RNAcentral describes it as "bacterial SSU rRNA". It matches the Rfam family "Bacterial small subunit ribosomal RNA", at positions 67 to 927 of the family's 1533-position model. The record is from RNAcentral.
CGGUAACAGAAGAGCUUGCUCUUGCUGACGAGUGGCGGCCGGGCGAGUAACGUAUGGGGAUCUGCCGAAUGGAGGGGGACAACAGUUGGAAACGACUGCUAAUACCGCAUAAUGUCACGAGACCAAAGCAUGAGACCUUAGGGCCAUGCGCCAUUUGAUGAACCCAUAUGGGAUUAGCUAGUAGGUGAGGUAAUGGCUCACCUAGGCGGCGAUCUCUAGCUGGUCUGAGAGGAUGACCAGCCACACUGGGACUGAGACACGGCCCAGACUCCUACGGGAGGCAGCAGUGGGGAAUAUUGCACAAUGGGGGAAACCCUGAUGCAGCCAUGCCGCGUGUAUGAAGAAGGCCUUCGGGUUGUAAAGUACUUUCGGUAGCGAGGAAGGGGUUAUAUCUAAUAGGUGUAACCAUUGACGUUAACUACAGAAGAAGCACCGGCUAACUCCGUGCCAGCAGCCGCGGUAAUACGGAGGGUGCGAGCGUUAAUCGGAAUGACUGGGCGUAAAGGGCAUGUAGGCGGAUAGUUAAGCUAGGUGUGAAAGCCCCGGGCUCAACCUGGGAAUUGCAUUUAAAACUGGUUAUCUGGAGUAUUGUAGAGGAAGGUAGAAUUCCAUGUGUAGCGGUGAAAUGCGUAGAGAUGUGGAGGAAUACCGGGUGGCGAAGGCGGCCUUCUGGACAAAUACUGACGCUGAGAUGCGAAAGCGUGGGGAGCAAACAGGAUUAGAUACCCUGGUAGUCCACGCUGUAAACGAUGUCAACUUGGGAGUUUGGGUCCUAGAGACCUGGGCUCCGAAGCUAACGCGAUAAGUUGACCGCCUGGGGGAGUACGGCCGCAAGGUUAAAACUCAAUGAAUUUGACGGGGGCCCGCACA